This 497-nucleotide ribosomal RNA is filed under the name uncultured bacterium. Its description in RNAcentral is "partial 16S ribosomal RNA". It matches the Rfam family "Bacterial small subunit ribosomal RNA", at positions 28 to 507 of the family's 1533-position model. The record is from RNAcentral.
GACGAACGCUGGCGGCGUGCCUAAUACAUGCAAGUUGAGCGCUGAAGGUUGGUACUUGUACCAACUGGAUGAGCAGCGAACGGGUGAGUAACGCGUGGGGAAUCUGCCUUUGAGCGGGGGACAACAUUUGGAAACGAAUGCUAAUACCGCAUAAAAACUUUAAACACAAGUUUUAAGUUUGAAAGAUGCAAUUGCAUCACUCAAAGAUGAUCCCGCGUUGUAUUAGCUAGGUGGUGAGGUAAAGGCUCACCAAGGCGAUGAUACAUAGCCGACCUGAGAGGGUGAACGGCCACAUUGGGACUGCGACACGGCCCAAACUCCUACGGGAGGCAGCAGUAGGGAAUCUUCGGCAAUGGACGAAAGUCUGACCGAGCAACGCCGCGUGAGUGAAGAAGGUUUUCGGAUCGUAAAACUCUGUUGGUAGAGAAGAACGUUGGUGAGAGUGGAAAGCUCAUCAAGUGACGGUAACUACCCAGAAAGGGACGGCUAACUACGUG